GUUCUUAUGGUGUAUGUGAGCACAUGAGAUUUUCAAUCUUUUGGGGCACUAAAUGUAUUAUGAUAGUGUUAAGAAUA
Molecule: transfer RNA, 77 nt
Filed under: Spirula spirula
Lineage: Eukaryota; Metazoa; Mollusca; Cephalopoda; Spirulida; Spirulidae
Description: tRNA-Glu
Source: RNAcentral